Long non-coding RNA from Felis catus (domestic cat), 1581 nucleotides. RefSeq lists it as uncharacterized. NCBI's taxonomy places the organism in Eukaryota, Metazoa, Chordata, Mammalia, Carnivora, Felidae. The record is from RefSeq and is a predicted model, not a curated record. The transcript is spliced from 5 exons.
UGGCAGGGCUUGAAUUGAUGAACUGUGAGCCAAAACCAAGAGUUGGACGCUUAACCUACUGAGCCACCCAGGUGCUCCCUGCCACCACUGCCUUGUUUUUUAAAGUUUUUACAAUGUAUUUAGAUAAUCAGGAGAGACUUAAUGGAAUAAGUAAAAUUAAUCAGAGAUUCAAGGAAGGUGAACUCUCAAUAGGGUGAAAAGUGGGGGGCAGGGGGGUAGGCAGAGCACUGGUGAGAAAGUAUUUCUUUACUCCAAGUACAAGAGAAGCUGUCAGGCUUGGGGGUAGAGGUGGUGGCAUUGGGAGACAAACACACAGGCUUGAUUAAAGUGAGGGAUAGAGGUUUGGCAACAAAAGGAAGCAAAGCCUGGGAAUUUGAAAAAAGUUAAGGUGUUUAGACUCUAUUUUGAGGCCCAUCCACCGUGAGGAGCUUGGUUUUCUGUAUAAGGAUUCAGGCAACAUAGAUUCAGUCCCAGGUCCGCUACAUCCAAACAACAUGUUACUUAGUGAUUUAACUUUUCCGAGCCUCAGUUUCCCUUCUAUACAAUGGAGAUUUUAUCUACCAAGCACAGUUGUGAAGUCUGCACAAAAUAACAUUUUCAUUGUCACAUUAGCUGUCACUUCCUCUCUAGUAAAUGGGCGGGGCAGGGAGGCUUGUGAAGAGGAAAAUGACAUUAUUUAAAGGGAUGGAUGUGACAUUAUGGGAAUGCCAAUUUUGUGAGGGUGUGCAGGAUGAACUGAGGAAGGGGAGCGUGUGUGUGUGUGUGUGUGUGUGUGUGUUAGAGGUGGGGGGAACCAGGAACAUGAGCUUGUUAGACCACAUAGAAAGACACAGGGCCCUGAACUAGCCAUACUGGCUAUGGCCACAUCAGCCGAAAUGAUGAAGUGAAUAUCAGGAGGAGGAAUGAAGCAUUUGGUGAAGAUAGAGCCACAUAUAAAAAAUGAAAUCCAGAAGAAAAAUUUCUUGAUUUCAGGAUGAAAAAAGCAGCAUACUAGUAAAAGAAAGUACUGAGGAAAAGUGUCUAAUGGACACUUGAUUUUUUUUGUUUCUGUUUUAUUUUUUUGGUUUGCUUAGUGUCCUAACCCACUGUUUCAGGUUAGCUGCCCUAUUCUCUCUGGAUAGAUCCUUUUUCUGGCAAAUCAGAGUCCUUCAUUUUCUUGGCACAAGGACUGGCCUGGAGAAGCUAAAAGGAUAUCAGUCUGGAGAAAGCUGAGGGUAGACAAAUAAGAAGCCAAUUGGAGACCAGAGGAAAUGAGGGAAGCAGAAGAACAGACUAACAGAAGGAAUGAUCUGAGGUGAAUGUAUAGGGUUAGAGUGUGCUUUUUGGCACAGACCCUUGUGCCUGAUGCUGCCCUGGAGCCAACUGGAAGCAGAUGGUCCUGCUGACGACGGGUCAGAAGGUCAGUGGUCACCUACCUCUACGUCACAAUCCUGCAUCCUUCACCCGACUUCUCAUCACAGAGGCAUUUUCUCAUCUCACAUCAUCACAAGUAGGGGCUCAUGAAAGAUACAAGCUCAAGACAAAAGAGAACAAGAAAACCUUGGAACCAGAUUUCUGGUCACAAUAAAGAAAUUACUUUGA